CACGAUUCUGCAUAUUCCCCCCUUUUUCUUAAAUUGUUCUAGUUUCGAACACGGGCGGAAAAGUGAAAAGAUAGAAACGUUUUCUUGUGAACAAGAAAACUGGGAAAAAAAAAAAUCGUUGUUUAACAUUUUCUUUUUCUUUUCAUAUAUUGAAAGGUAAACGCAUGUGCAAAACACUUUCGUGGUCGACAUUCUGAAGUCAACCCACACAAAUUUCUGUCUUCCUGAUCUUAAACAAUCGCCUCUUCUAUAUACUUCUCUGAAAAUUAGGUUUAAUUACAGAAAAAUCUGAUAAGGGAUUUGCUUUAACCCCAAUAAUCCACGGAAUCCUUGUUAUUGAAAACCCAAUUUCAUUUACAAGAUCAUAACUUUUCAGUAUUUUCCCAUAAAUUCAGUCAUAAAUUUUCGAUCUUGAUUACAUAUUUUAAUCUGUUAAGAGAAAGAUGGGUGGAUGUUUCAGCAAGAAGAAGCACACGACUCCAGAUGCCAAUGGUUACAGAUCAGGAAGAACAGGCCCCACAGGGUAUCAAAGCCAUCAAAAUUAUCAAAAAUCAUCAUCUCAGUACACAUCCCAGCCGCCUCAGCCCGAAAGAAACCACCAGCCGCCACCGGUGCCACGUCCGCAGCCGCAAGCUCAACCUCAGGCACCGAUUCCAGUUCCUGUGAAACCUGCUCCCCAACACCAAAGCCCUGUUCAAAGAUUAGAACCCAAUAACAUUUUGGGUAAGCCAUUUGAGGAUAUAAGGUCAAACUACAAACUUGGCAGAGAAUUGGGGAAGGGUCAGUUUGGGGUAACUUACCUUUGUACUGAGAAUGCAACUGGACACACAUAUGCCUGUAAGUCAAUACUGAAGAGGAAGCUUGUGAGUAAGAAUGAUAAGGAGGAUAUGAAGAGGGAAGUUCAUAUUAUGCAGCACUUGAGUGGGCAGGCCAACAUCGUCGAAUUUAAGGGUGCUUAUGAGGACAGGCAAUCUGUGCACGUUUUGAUGGAGCUUUGUGCCGGCGGGGAGCUCUUUGACAGGAUAAUUGCUCAGGGGCAUUAUUCCGAGAGAGCUGCCGCUGACCUAUGUAGACAGAUUGUGAAUGUUGUUCACCAUUGCCAUUUUAUGGGAGUGAUACAUAGGGAUCUCAAGCCGGAGAAUUUCUUGCUUGCAAGUAAGGAUGAGAAAGCAAUGUUGAAGGCAACUGAUUUUGGGCUCAGCGUGUUUAUUGAAGAAGGUCUGUUUCUGGCUUUUAUUCAACUAAUUUUAUAGUUCUAGAACCUAAUGUUAUUUCAAUUAAGUUAUACGAUUUAGCUAAGUUUACAUGGAUAACAAACAUUUUCGUUAGUAUGUGUUAUGAUUCUUUCAAUGUUUUGUGAUCUAAGAUCCGGCGAUAGCAUAUUAUUGUGGUUGAAUACAAUUCUAAUAUUGUAAACAGAUCUUUAGCCAGUACCUAUACAAAUUUCACCACUCCGGUGGAAAUUUUCUCCACUUUGAGAUUGACAAUAGAUUGGAAGAUGCUUCAAGGAUCUUCUACAUCACAAGAUGCUGCUUUACAAAUAUGGAAUGCCUCAUUUAAGUGGUACAAGAAAAUAUAAUGACAUUGAAACCUCAAUUUUUGCAGCUGAUUUCAGAAGGUUGAUAUGUUUUCUCAUUCACUCAUAGACUUACUGUGUCUUCUGAGUUUUUGUAUUAGUUAAUAGGAACUAAGUGCUUGUUCAACUCACACAAGUGGCAGCUGAUCGUUGAUUCAAACUAUUUGCAGAUUCUGGUGGAAGUUCCUAAGGGAAAUUUUGAUUGUAAAUAGACCUGCUCACGCCAAAGACUGAGAAUGAUAGCCAUGUUAUUAAAGAAUGUUAACUUAUUAAUCGUUAAAAUAAGUGCAAACGGCAGUUUCCAUUUUUAAGAUCAUUAAAAAAGUGUGGCCCCCAUUUUACCACUUUGUGUCUACAUUGUGACGCCCUCUAUAUGUGUGCAGUUUUGCAAUUUAACCAAUUUGUUUCUGACAUUUUGUAUUUUCAUGAUCCUUUCACUUAUCCACAUUUUUUUUUCUUGUAAUUUGCAUAAAAAAUAACAAUUCCUUAUUUUUAAAAUCACAGGGAAGGUCUACCGUGAUAUAGUUGGUAGUGCAUACUAUGUAGCUCCUGAAGUUCUACGUCGAAGCUAUGGGAAGGAAAUUGAUAUAUGGAGUGCAGGUGUUAUUUUGUAUAUCCUGCUCAGUGGCGUGCCUCCAUUUUGGGCUGGUAAGAUAAAUGGGGUUAUUCCAUACAAUGUUUAUUUUCAUCUGUAACUCUCUCUUACCUUAACAUAUUUGGCCAAGCUUAAAAUUUACUUUUAAAUAACUCUUUUGGCCAUACAUGUUAGAGCUUUUUUACAUCCUUUUUUUUAAAAAAAAACUUUUUCAUAAAAAAAUUAAUUUUCUAUAAGUAAGUCCACACUUACUUCUGCAAAAGUACUUACUUUUUUAAGUUUAUCCAAACAUCUCAACAUGUUUCAUGUAAUUUUGUUGCAGAAACCGAAAAGGGGAUAUUUGAUGCUAUACUGACAGAAGAAAUUGACUUUGAAAGCCAGCCAUGGCCAUCAAUAUCAAACAGUGCAAAAGACCUUGUUCGCAAAAUGCUGAUGAAGGAUCCAAAGAAGAGGAUUACUUCUGUACAAGUACUGGGUAAAGUUACCUUCUUCCUUUUAUACAAAUUUGUGUCAAUUCCUCGCAUCUUUAUGCAUGUCUUUUGAACAUGAAGACAGAUUUUCUGUUCUGACUUGUAUUGUGCGUACCUUAUCAACUUUUCCAAUCACAUAGAGAUAUAUAUUUUCUUAAACUGACCAUUGUCUUCGCUGUUAUUAGUUUAUCCAAGCUUAGGAAAUUGGCUCGGUUGAGUGCUGAUAUAAGAGAUGCUGAAUAUAAAAAGUAACUGAAUGGAAAGAAUGAUACGUUAUUUAUGAGUUAUCCUCGAUAUCCCAGCGAGCAGCUGAAUUUUGGUUAAAACUUGAGGCUAAUAUCCAUUCCAACCAAAACUUAUAUGAAAAAGUAAUUACCCGAGAACUAGAUGAGAAAUUGGGGCCAAUAUAAGUUGAUUCGUGUCAAGAGCCAACUGGAGUGUAGUGCUUAUUCUUAAUGACUCUUGUUUAUAUCACGUCUCUUGUUUCUAAUUCAAAUAAUUAUCAUUUUGUGAACUUUUGUUGUUUAAAUUAUUGAGUUAAUCUUUUUUACUGCCCUGAAGUUAUGGAUUUCUCUUCAAUUUCAUAAUUAAUUUAUAAAGAUGCUAUGAAAUAUGUAUUUUCUUUCUCGAACUAGCCCAAAGUUGAACAUCUAUUUUUGUCUGUAUAGAGCACCCUUGGAUUAAAGGACAAGCACCUGAUAAGCCAAUUGAUAGUGCUGUGCUCUCAAGAAUGAAGCAGUUCAGAGCAAUGAAUAAGCUCAAGAAACUUGCACUAAAGGUAAAUUAUUAUUUCAUGCUUUCGUUUUAUAUCAAUUAAAUUGGAACAUUGAAAUUAUGAAUGUUUGUUCAAGUUUUGUUAUGUUUGUCAAGCCAGAAAUAUGAUACUUUUAAGUGAUGAUAAACCUUUAGUAGAGCAACUAUCUAUUGGACCUGCUGAUCAUGUCUGAUAAUUCUGUACUUCUUGAAUUUUUCUGCCGACUUCCUUCCAUUGGAAAAUACGAGACUAUCAAUUUUCUUCAAUAUGUAGCUUUAAUUGAUCUAGAUGGAUUAAAAUCAAAACCUACUCAAUAAGCACAUAAACAUGCAUUGUUUCUUAAUUGUCACAGUACUAGAAUUGGUACAUGAAACAUGUAUAAAGGAUAAAAUUUGGAACCCACUUUCAGUUUAUAGAAAUCUCUUUGCUUCAAUAAAAAUAUCUUGGUAUAAUUUGGCGUAAUUAUUAGGUAAGACUGGAAAACAUAUUCUAUAUAAUUAAUCUAGGGGCCAAAAUGUGGUGUUCGUAAAUUGGUUUUCUGUGAUAAACGUAGGUCCCACGCGGAAUAUUAAAACAUUUUCCAUUUUGAGGAAUAAAUUAACAUUAUUAUGAAACAACCUCAAUUAGAAAGUAAAGGUUAUUUGACUUCACAUGGAAAGAGCACUAUAGAGUAUUUAUUACGGUAAACUCAAAGAGUACUUUUCCUCUGGUCAUGAAUCUUAAUCAUUUUUGCAAACAAGUCAUAUGUGCAAUAUUGCUCAACUUAGAUGUAGAUGUUCUUUUCCUCUUACUAUGUACUGUUGCAUUUGGAAACUCCUGUAGGUCAUUGCACAAAAUUUAUCUGAAGAAGAAAUUAAAGGUCUCAAAGCAAUGUUCACAAAUAUGGACACAGACAAGAGUGGCGCAAUCACAUAUGAAGAAUUGAAAACUGGACUGGCUCGCCUCGGGUCAAAACUGUCAGAAACUGAAGUAAAACAACUCAUGGAAGCUGUAAGUUUCAUUCAGCUAUGUGAACACAAUUUGUUUAACCUUUAUUUGCCAUGACUGCUUCCUUGGAUUUAAACAUUUAUUCUAUAUAUCUCAGGCAGAUGUGGAUGGUAAUGGGACAAUUGAUUACCUUGAAUUUAUAACUGCCACGAUGCAUAGACACAAGCUCGAAAGAGACGAGCAUCUCUAUAAAGCAUUUCAGUAUUUUGACAAGGAUAACAGUGGGUAAGUAAGGGUCUAACUGUUGACAGUGCAUUUAUCUUGUCCACAUUUAUGGAUGUUUGGUAAGGUGGAUUAAACAACAUUAGAUAGUUUGAUGAAGAAAAAGGAGUCAAAAAAAUAUCUAUGGUACUUUCUGUUCUAUCUACACUCUGUACUUGAGGAUCAAGUUUUAGAAACCAUAUCAUUUUCACCAAGAUUGCAAUGGGAGUAAUGCAGAGAAUUCUGCUUGUUUCUGUUUACAAUAUUGAUCUUAUUAUAUAGUGAAAUUAUUGCUACCUUGUGGGAUUUUUCUUUCUUCCGUCAAAUUAUCCCAGACAUUUGACACCACCUGAUUUCCUAUUCAAUUUUGCUACACGUACAUUCUGGUUGAUACGUGGCCCAAAAUUUUACCAUUGAUAUGUUCGACACUUGAAACAAUCAAUGGCCUCGAUUUUGACACCUAUAGAAAUGUAAUCUAAGAUGUACACAAAGAAUUUACAAGUAGAUUUAUUCUUUCCUUAUUAUAUCGUUUCAGCUUCAUUACGAGAGAUGAACUGGAAAAUGCUAUGAAGGAGUACGGCAUGGGUGAUGAGGCCACAAUCAGGGAAAUAAUUUCAGAAGUCGAUACAGAUAAUGUAAGUAUGCCUGAUUCAAGAAAUGAGAUACACACUGUCUUCCCGAUUUAGAUAUAGACCAGCCUUAUAUUACUGCAUUUUAUAGGAUGGAAGGAUCAACUACGAGGAGUUCUGUGAGAUGAUGAGAAGCGGAACAACACAACAGGCAAAGCUCUUCUAGUGUCAAGGCAAUAAUUUUUUGAGCAGCAUGUUGUUGGGACUUAUGAGAGAGUUCUGCAAGGAUGAGGAGAUGCUGGGGACGAGGUGCAAGAUGACAUGAUCUUGAUUUCUUGUCGGAUACUCUACUGUUUUCAUGGAAAUCGAGGGAGUACGGUUAAGAGUUUGCGAGCUUUUUUUGUUCAGAUAGCUGUUAAAUGGUGUUGUACUCGUGCAUACUCUGUUCCAUUAUUAAUUUGUGUUUAUCCAUAAUGUAUUAGAUAUCCAUCUAAUUUUAUAUGUACAAUGGUGUUUUAUUCUUGCAAGUUGAUUCGUAUGUGAAUGAUUAAAGAAUUGGAUUUACCUAAAUAUGCCAACCGUUCUCCCUGGAUUUUCAGGCUGAAGAUUUCAAUCUUUUUCUUGUCAUUGUUACAAAAUUUGAGAGUUGAAAUAUCUGUAAAUACUGCUUUAGCUUUACAUGCCUGCAGGCUACUAAUUGUUUAACUCAAUCUUGCAAA
Molecule: long non-coding RNA, 5871 nt
Filed under: Olea europaea subsp. europaea
Lineage: Eukaryota; Viridiplantae; Streptophyta; Magnoliopsida; Lamiales; Oleaceae
Source: RNAcentral